GCCAGGUGUGGUGGCUCACACCUGUAAUCCCAGCACUUUGGGAGGCCGAGGCAGGUGGAUCACCUGAGGUCAGGAGUUCAAGACCAGCCUGGCCAACAUGGUGAAACCCUGUCUCUA
This is an unclassified non-coding RNA of Pongo abelii (Sumatran orangutan), 117 nucleotides long. It matches the Rfam family "Metazoan signal recognition particle RNA". Rfam says of the family: The signal recognition particle (SRP) is a universally conserved ribonucleoprotein. It is involved in the co-translational targeting of proteins to membranes. The eukaryotic SRP consists of a 300-nucleotide 7S RNA and six proteins: SRPs 72, 68, 54, 19, 14, and 9. The record is from Ensembl. NCBI's taxonomy places the organism in Eukaryota, Metazoa, Chordata, Mammalia, Primates, Hominidae.